AGUCGACGGCGCGCGGGGCACCUGGCGGCGAGUGGCGAACGGGUGAGUUUAUAUCGGAACGUGCCCUGGAGUGGGGGAUAACGCAGCGAAAGUUGCGCUAAUACCGCAUACGAUCUAAGGAUGAAAGCGGGGGAUUCGCAAGAACCUCGUGCUCCUGGAGCGGCCGAUAUCUGAUUAGCUAGUUGGUGGGGUAAAGGCCUACCAAGGCAUCGAUCAGUAGCUGGUCUGAGAGGACGACCAGCCACACUGGAACUGAGACACGGUCCAGACUCCUACGGGAGGCAGCAGUGGGGAAUUUUGGACAAUGGGCGCAAGCCUGAUCCAGCAAUGCCGCGUGAGUGAAGAAGGCCUUCGGGUUGUAAAGCUCUUUUGUCAGGGAAGAAACGGUGCGGGCUAAUAUCCCGCACUAAUGACGGUACCUGAAGAAUAAGCACCGGCUAACUACGUGCCAGCAGCCGCGGUAAUACGUAGGGUGCAAGCGUUAAUCGGAAUUACUGGGCGUAAAGCGUGCGCAGGCGGUUUUGUAAGUUUGUCGUGAAAUCCCCGGGCUCAACCUGGGAAUUGCGACGAAGACUGCAAGGCUAGAAUCUGGCAGAGGGGGGUAGAAUUCCACGUGUAGCAGUGAAAUGCGUAGAGAUGUGGAGGAACACCGAUGGC
RNAcentral lists this ribosomal RNA (657 nucleotides) under uncultured bacterium. RNAcentral describes it as "bacterial SSU rRNA". It matches the Rfam family "Bacterial small subunit ribosomal RNA", at positions 60 to 716 of the family's 1533-position model. The record is from RNAcentral.